GCGAUGGUGGUGUAAUGGCGAAGAGCAUUCCCACCCGAUCAGCAGGAGUUGCGGGUUCGAGUCCCGCCCGGCGCU
Heligmosomoides polygyrus is the source of this 75-nucleotide non-coding RNA. NCBI's taxonomy places the organism in Eukaryota, Metazoa, Nematoda, Chromadorea, Rhabditida, Heligmosomidae. The record is from Rfam.